AGUUUGAUCAUGGCUCAGGAUGAACGCUAGCGGGAGGCCUAACACAUGCAAGCCGAGCGGUAGAGAUUCUUCGGAAUCUUGAGAGCGGCGUACGGGUGCGUAACACGUGUGCAACCUGCCUUUAUCUGGGAGAUAGCCUUUCGAAAGGAAGAUUAAUAUCCCAUAAUAUAUUGAUUGGCAUCGAUUGAUAUUGAAAGCUCCGGCGGAUAAAGAUGGGCACGCGCAAGAUUAGAUAGUUGGUGAGGUAACGGCUCACCAAGUCGAUGAUCUUUAGGGGGCCUGAGAGGGUGAUCCCCCACACUGGUACUGAGACACGGACCAGACUCCUACGGGAGGCAGCAGUGAGGAAUAUUGGACAAUGGGUGGAAGCCUGAUCCAGCCAUCCCGCGUGAAGGAAUAAGGGCCUAUGGCUUGUAAACUUCUUUUGUACAGGGAUAAACCUACCCUCGUGAGGGUAGCUGAAGGUACUGUACGAAUAAGCACCGGCUAACUCCGUGCCAGCAGCCGCGGUAAUACGGAGGGUGCAAGCGUUAUCCGGAUUUAUUGGGUUUAAAGGGUCCGUAGGCGGGCUUAUAAGUCAGUGGUGAAAGCCGGCAGCUUAACUGUCGAACUGCCAUUGAUACUGUAAGUCUUGAGUAUAUUUGAGGUAGCUGGAAUAAGUAGUGUAGCGGUGAAAUGCAUAGAUAUUACUUAGAACACCAAUUGCGAAGGCAGGUUACCAAGUUAUAACUGACGCUGAUGGACGAAAGCGUGGGGAGCGAACAGGAUUAGAUACCCCGGUAGU
RNAcentral lists this ribosomal RNA (784 nucleotides) under uncultured bacterium. RNAcentral's name for it is "bacterial SSU rRNA". It matches the Rfam family "Bacterial small subunit ribosomal RNA", at positions 10 to 794 of the family's 1533-position model. The record is from RNAcentral.